CGUGCAGGUGGAUGAGUAAGUUACUCAUGAAAGCUCCCGGCUAAACUGGGAGAGGUUGAGUGAUACUGCUCGUCUAGAGUGGAUGAGAGGUAAGUAGAAUUCCUUGUGUAGUGGUGAAAUGCGUAGAUAUAAGGAAGAAUACCAGUGGCGAAGGCGACUUACUGGCAUCCAACUGACACUCAGACGCGAAAGCAUGGGUAGCGAACG
This 207-nucleotide ribosomal RNA is filed under the name uncultured bacterium. RNAcentral's name for it is "partial 16S ribosomal RNA". It matches the Rfam family "Bacterial small subunit ribosomal RNA", at positions 568 to 774 of the family's 1533-position model. The record is from RNAcentral.